UACGGAGGGAGCUAGCGUUGCUCGGAAUUACUGGGCGUAAAGCGCACGUAGGCGGCUUUGUAAGUCAGAGGUGAAAGCCUGGAGCUCAACUCCAGAACUGCCUUUGAGACUGCAUCGCUUGAAUCCAGGAGAGGUGAGUGGAAUUCCGAGUGUAGAGGUGAAAUUCGUAGAUAUUCGGAAGAACACCAGUGGCGAAGGCGGCUCACUGGACUGGUAUUGACGCUGAGGUGCGAAAGCGUGGGGAGCAAACAGG
This 253-nucleotide ribosomal RNA is filed under the name uncultured bacterium. Its description in RNAcentral is "partial 16S ribosomal RNA". It matches the Rfam family "Bacterial small subunit ribosomal RNA", at positions 524 to 776 of the family's 1533-position model. The record is from RNAcentral.